UACCAGCACCCCGAGUGGUCGGGACGAUUAUUGGGCCUAAAGCAUCCGUAGCCGGUUUUACAAGUCCUCCGUUAAAUCCAACUGCUUAACAGAUGGGCCGCGGAGGAUACUAUAAGACUAGGAGGCAGGAGAGGCAAGCGGUACUCAGUGGGUAGGGGUAAAAUCCGUUGAUCCAUUGAAGACCACCAGUGGCGAAGGCGGCUUGCCAGAAUGCGCUCGACGGUGAGGGAUGAAAGCUGGAGGAGCAAACCGG
This 253-nucleotide ribosomal RNA is filed under the name uncultured bacterium. RNAcentral's name for it is "partial 16S ribosomal RNA". It matches the Rfam family "Archaeal small subunit ribosomal RNA", at positions 474 to 727 of the family's 1478-position model. The record is from RNAcentral.